GGGGAAGUAGUCUAGCUUGGAUACAAAAUCCGCUGCGAUUUUGUGAGAGCAACAUGAUUCGUGCCUGGGGCGCACGAGGUCGUGGGUUCAAGUCCCAUCUUCCCCA
RNAcentral lists this transfer RNA (106 nucleotides) under Candidatus Helarchaeota archaeon. Its description in RNAcentral is "tRNA-Pro". It matches the Rfam family "tRNA". Rfam says of the family: Transfer RNA (tRNA) molecules are approximately 80 nucleotides in length. Their secondary structure includes four short double-helical elements and three loops (D, anti-codon, and T loops). Lineage: Archaea; Promethearchaeati; Candidatus Helarchaeota. The record is from RNAcentral.